Molecule: unclassified non-coding RNA, 248 nt
Filed under: plant metagenome
Description: partial contains small subunit ribosomal RNA, internal transcribed spacer 1, and 5.8S ribosomal RNA
Source: RNAcentral
UCUCCGUAGGUGAACCUGCGGAGGGAUCAUUACAGAGUUCAUGCCCUACCGGGUAGAUCUCCCACCCUAUGUUAUUAUUACUUUGUUGCUUUGGCGGGCCGUUAGGCUCCGGCCCGACUACCGGCCCCGGCUGGUAAGCGCCCGCCAGAGGACCCAAAACCCUGAAUAUUAGUGUCGUCUGAGUACUAUAUAAUAGUUAAAACUUUCAACAACGGAUCUCUUGGUUCUGGCAUCGAUGAAAACGCAGC